GAUGAACGCUGGCGGCGUGCCUAAUACAUGCAAGUCGAGCGAACAGACGAGGAGCUUGCUCCUCUGACGUUAGCGGCGGACGGGUGAGUAACACGUGGAUAACCUACCUAUAAGACUGGGAUAACUUCGGGAAACCGGAGCUAAUACCGGAUAAUAUAUUGAACCGCAUGGUUCAAUAGUGAAAGACGGUUUUGCUGUCACUUAUAGAUGGAUCCGUGCCGCAUUAGCUAGUUGGUAAGGUAACGGCUUACCAAGGCAACGAUGCGUAGCCGACCUGAGAGGGUGAUCGGCCACACUGGAGCUGAGACACGGUCCAGACGCCUACGGGAGGCAGCAGUAGGGAAUCUUCCGCAAUGGGCGAAAGCCUGACGGAGCAACGCCGCGUGAGUGAUGAAGGUCUUCGGAUCGUAAAACUCUGUUAUUAGGGAAGAACAAAUGUGUAAGUAACUAUGCACGUCUUGACGGUACCUAAUCAGAAAGCCACGGCUAACUACGUG
This 497-nucleotide ribosomal RNA is filed under the name uncultured bacterium. RNAcentral describes it as "partial 16S ribosomal RNA". It matches the Rfam family "Bacterial small subunit ribosomal RNA", at positions 28 to 507 of the family's 1533-position model. The record is from RNAcentral.